Molecule: ribosomal RNA, 254 nt
Filed under: uncultured bacterium
Lineage: Bacteria
Description: partial 16S ribosomal RNA
Rfam family: Bacterial small subunit ribosomal RNA
Source: RNAcentral
UACGGAGGAUGCAAGCGUUUAUCCGGAAUGAUUGGGCGUAAAGCGUCCGCAGGUGGCUAUGUAAGUCUGCUGUUAAAGAGUCUAGCUCAACUAGAUAAGAGCAGUGGAAACUACAUGGCUAGAGUGCGUUCGGGGCAGAGGGAAUUCCUGGUGUAGCGGUGAAAUGCGUAGAGAUCAGGAAGAACACCGGUGGCGAAGGCGCUCUGCUAGGCCGCAACUGACACUGAGGGACGAAAGCGUGGGGAGCAAACAGG